AGAGCGAACGCUGGCGGCAGGCUUAACACAUGCAAGUCGAGCGGGCGUAGCAAUACGUCAGCGGCAGACGGGUGAGUAACGCGUGGGAACAUACCUUUUGGUUCGGAACAACACAGGGAAACUUGUGCUAAUACCGGAUAAGCCCUUACGGGGAAAGAUUUAUCGCCGAAAGAUUGGCCCGCGUCUGAUUAGCUAGUUGGUGAGGUAACGGCUCACCAAGGCGACGAUCAGUAGCUGGUCUGAGAGGAUGAUCAGCCACAUUGGGACUGAGACACGGCCCAAACUCCUACGGGAGGCAGCAGUGGGGAAUAUUGGACAAUGGGCGCAAGCCUGAUCCAGCCAUGCCGCGUGAGUGAUGAAGGCCCUAGGGUUGUAAAGCUCUUUGUGCGGGAAGAUAAUGACGGUACCGCAAGAAUAAGCCCGGCUAACGUUCGUGCCAGCAGCCGC
RNAcentral lists this ribosomal RNA (447 nucleotides) under uncultured bacterium. Its description in RNAcentral is "SSU rRNA". It matches the Rfam family "Bacterial small subunit ribosomal RNA", at positions 26 to 518 of the family's 1533-position model. The record is from RNAcentral.